CCUAAUUAGAAAGGCGGUAAUUUUAAAGACGAUAGAUGGAUAAAUUUAUAACAAAGGGAAGAAACCAGCCUAAAAAGGCUGAGAAUACCCAAAAUCAGAACCCUUCUUCCUCUACAGGGGAUUACAGAAUCUUUGCUCAUUAGGGACAUUGGCUUGAAGUUUUUUUUUCUUUCUUUCCUUCUUUUUUGUUGUGUCUUUGAUAGGUUUUGGUUUUCUCCUUUUAGCUUUUCUUGUCUGUUUCUGAGUUCCUACUCAAAAAUCCUUUGUCCAGACUAAUGUCUUAAAACAUUUUCCACAUGAUGUUUUUCUAGUACUUUCAUUGUUUAGGAUCUAUAUUUAAGUCUUUAAUAAAUUUUGCUUUGAGUUUUGUAAUCAUGGAAGCUAGGGGUAUCAGUUAAUUCUUCAGCAUAUGGAUAUCCAGUUUAUCCAGCACGAUUUAUUGAAAAGACUGUUCUUUCCCUAAUGUGUGAUCUUGGCAUCUUUAGUGAAAAUAAGUUGGCAGUAAAUAUCUGGAUUUAAUUCUGGAUUCUCUAUUUUGUUUUCAUGCCAAUAUGACACUGUUUUAUUACUAUAGCUUUGUAGUAUAUUUUGAAGCCAGAUAAUGUGAUGCUUUCAGCUUUGUUCUCUUUGUUCAGAAUUGCUUUGAUUAUUUGAAGUCUUUUAUGGUUUCAUGCACAUUUAAUUUUCUUUGGUUUCUGUGAAUAAUGUCAUUCCUGA
Molecule: long non-coding RNA, 717 nt
Filed under: Callithrix jacchus (white-tufted-ear marmoset)
Lineage: Eukaryota; Metazoa; Chordata; Mammalia; Primates; Cebidae
Description: lncRNA (ENSCJAG00000070469.1)
Source: RNAcentral